AACGCACAUUGCGCCCGCCAGCAUUCUGGCGGGCAUGCCUGUUCGAGCGUCAUUUCAACCCUCGAGCUCGUCUUCAUUGACGAGAUCGGUGUUGGGACCCGGCGAUCGGGGACUUUAGUUCCUCUGCCGGUCCUGAAAUUCAGUGGCGGCCCGUUGCGGCGACCUCUGCGUAGUAACUUAACCUCGCACUGGGACAGCAGCGCGGCCACGCCGUAAAACCCCCGACUUUUUUUAAGGUUGACCUCGAAUCAGGUAGGACUACCCGCUGAACUUAA
RNAcentral lists this unclassified non-coding RNA (275 nucleotides) under uncultured fungus. Its description in RNAcentral is "partial contains 5.8S ribosomal RNA, internal transcribed spacer 2, and large subunit ribosomal RNA". Lineage: Eukaryota; Fungi. The record is from RNAcentral.